UGACAUGGCCAAAAGAGGUAAAGAUGGACAGGACCCUGAAAGGAAGCGAAAGAAGUGCGAGCUUUGCUAGAGCUGUGCUUUAUUCCUCAGAGAGGACUAGCUCAGGGUGCCAGGUUAGGCUGGCAAAUUCAAAGGCAGACGUUUCUGCCCACACAGCAGCCUCCAGGCCGGAAGUCGGGGGUGGAUCCAGAUGGGAAUCAUAUGUUUGUGCCAUGUGUGUUUUCACUGGAGGGGAAAAGAAUCUCAUGGCUGGCAACUUUCUUAGGGCUCUGUGCAGAACUCAGUGUAAGGAGCAAAGGAGCUGCUUGGAAGAUUCUAUGCACUGAAUUUUAGGAAGUCUUAAGAGGAGCAGAGCUUGGGCAAAACCUAUGUUGUCAUUUCUUUGGAUUUGAGACUACAGACCCUAGACUACUAAAAGAAAUAAAAA
This 427-nucleotide long non-coding RNA is filed under the name Rattus norvegicus (Norway rat). Its description in RNAcentral is "long non-coding RNA NONRATT022492". Lineage: Eukaryota; Metazoa; Chordata; Mammalia; Rodentia; Muridae. The record is from RNAcentral.